This 350-nucleotide unclassified non-coding RNA is filed under the name Trichogramma pretiosum. RNAcentral's name for it is "mitochondrial intermembrane space import and assembly protein 40-B-like, transcript variant X1". The record is from RNAcentral. Lineage: Eukaryota; Metazoa; Arthropoda; Insecta; Hymenoptera; Trichogrammatidae.
CCACUUUUUAUUAGCCGGGUACUGGUAACGUCACCCUGGUAAGUCGUGAAAAUUUUUUUCCAAUUUCAAUCACCACAAGUGGCGCUGCCCUCCUGAUCAUGCUAAGGCAGUAUCCACAGCAGGCAGUAAGGCCGCAGUCCGCACUACAUCUUUAAUAUUUAAGUCUAUAACAUCAGCUGCUACUUGAACGCAACACGUGGAUAGUAUUGAGUCAUCGGUCAAUGCUGAUGAAAGAAAUUGAAGACUUGUAUAAGCGAGGCAUUUUAUUAAUGAGCCCAAAGAACCCUGUACAGCAGUACAAGUAAAAAAUCAAGUGAAAGUUGCUGUGGCACAUCUUUUGGGAACAGAAG